RNAcentral lists this ribosomal RNA (882 nucleotides) under uncultured archaeon. RNAcentral describes it as "bacterial SSU rRNA". It matches the Rfam family "Archaeal small subunit ribosomal RNA", at positions 455 to 1336 of the family's 1478-position model. The record is from RNAcentral.
GUGGCAGCCGCCGCGGUAAAACCAGCACCUCAAGUGGUCAGGAUGAUUAUUGGGCCUAAAGCAUCCGUAGCCGGCUUUGUAAGUUUUCGGUUAAAUCUAUAUGCUCAACAUAUAGGCUGCCGGGAAUACUGCAAAGCUAGGGAGUGGGAGAGGUAGACGGUACUCCGUAGGAAGGGGUAAAAUCCUUUGACCUAUGGAUGACCACCUGUGGCGAAGGCGGUCUACCAGAACACGUUCGACGGUGAGGGAUGAAAGCUGGGGGAGCAAACCGGAUUAGAUACCCGGGUAGUCCCAGCUGUAAACUAUGCAAACUCAGUGAUGCAUUGGCUUGUGGCCAGUGCAGUGCCGCAGGGAAGCCGUUAAGUUUGCCGCCUGGGAAGUACGUACGCAAGUAUGAAACUUAAAGGAAUUGGCGGGGGAGCACCACAAGGGGUGAAGCCUGCGGUUCAAUUGGAGUCAACGCCAGAAAUCUUACCCGGAGAGACAGCAGGAUGAAGGUCAAGCUGAAGACUUUACCAGACAAGCUGAGAAGUGGUGCAUGGCCGUCGCCAGCUCGUGCCGUGAGGUGUCCUGUUAAGUCAGGUAACGAGCGAGAUCCUUGCCUCUAGUUGCCACCAUUACUCUCAGGAGUAGUGGGGCGAAUUAGCGGGACUGCCGUAGUUAAUACGGAGGAAGGAGAGGGCCACGGCAGGUCAGUAUGCCCUGAAACUCUGGGGCCACACGCGGGCUGCAAUGGUAGUGACAAUGUGUUCCGAAUCCGAGAGGAGGAGGUAAUCCUCAAACGCUACCACAGUUAUGACUGAGGGCUGCAACUCGCCCUCACGAAUAUGGAAUCCCUAGUAACCGCGUGUCAUUAUCGCGCGGUGAAUACGUCCCUGCUCC